AUGGUGGCGCACACCUGUAAUCCCGGCCCUCGGGAGGCUGAGGCAGGAGGAUCAUCGCGAGUUGGAAACCAGCCUGGGCUACAAAGUGAGCUCAAGGCCAGCCUGAACUGCAUGGUGAGACCCUGUCUCAAAAAGAACAAAAAAAAAAAAAAAAAAAAAAAAAAAAGAAAAGAAAAGAAAUAGUUUUGCCAGGAAUGGUGAUGUAUUGCCAGCCUGUGCUACAUAGUGAGUUCAAGGAAACACUAUUUCCAAAAAAAAAGGUUUGACCUCAAGACCCAUAGGAAGAUCUCCAAGAAAUUACUCUCCCAACCACCAUGGGAGUCUGACAGAUCUGGAGUUCUGGCCUAGAGGAACAGUUAAUAUAUACAACAAAAGGUCUAGUCUGCGGGGCGUGUUGGCCCACACCUAUAAUCCCACCUACUCUCAGGCUGAAAUAGAAGGAUCUCAAAUUUGAGGCUAGCCUGGGCAAUUUAGAUAGACCCUGUCUCAAAAGUAAAAAGGGCUGCAGACAUAGUUCAGUGCUGAGACCCUGGGUUCAAUCCCCAUUAUCACACAGGCAGAAAUUCUAAAUCAGUUUUAACAAGAACUCAUUUUUAAAGCAUUAACUGUACAUAUAUAUAUAUAUAGUAUUUUUCAGACAGGGUCUCACUAUGCUGUUCAGGCUGGCCUUGAGCUCACUUUGUAGCCCAGGCUGGCCUCGAACUCACAAUGAUCCUCCUGCCUCAGCCUCCCAAGUGCUGGAAUUACAGGCGUGCACCACCAUGCCUCUCAUGUAUAUGGUUUAAAAUGCUUUAAAUUUAUUUAGAGAUGCAGUUCAAUUAGAUGACAUCUGAAAUCAUUCAGUUCCAAAACUGUGGGACUAGAUUAGCACAGAAAUUCUACCAGUGCAAAGUAAGAGUCGUGGCCAGCAAUUAAAAUCUUUAGAGGAAGUGGUAUAAAUCACGGAACACUUAACCAGUGCUGAUGUCAUGAGUUUUCUUCAAUCUACAUUUGAGAGGAAAAAAAAAGACUAAAGGUACAGAGGAAAAGUUUACUCUUAAUCAGUUCAGUAUUUUAAAAAGUGGUUUAGGCAGUGGUUUCUGCUAUUUUCACCCUCCACUAUGAAAGGAUAAAAACUCAGUGAUGUCUACAAGGCUUUCCACAGUUGAGCUCCUUCCAACCUCUCCAGCUGAGACAGGAGGUUAGGGCGUGGCAAAGCUGACUGGUGAAGUAGACAUAACCUGUUAAUUACGAGAUUCUAGACACAGGCAGAACAGUUCCCAAAGCCCUUCUUACAAAACUUCAAGCAGGUUUGCAAUAGGAUGGCCUAGACCUAAAGUCAACCUGAGGUGUGGGAUCCAAGCACUGCCUCUCAGGACCAAAAUGUAGAAGUUCUCCUGGGUUUACCUGAGAUUUGAACAACAUGUUAGGAUGCGGAUGCCCCAAGGAUCCCACUGUCGUGGCUUUCCUCAUGAUGGCCCACUCUGCUUUCUCCAGGGUGUUUUUUAUCUUGCUUUUCCCCAUUUUACUUGGCCCAAGCUUGUGCUGAGAGCCAGUGUCUCCCUCAUUCUUCGCUUUUACUUUUUCAAAUAAACUUUGCUACUGCUUUUUGCUCAUUUAGUUCAGUUCUUUGUUCAAGAUGAAAAGAAUCUGGAAUCCAACUCCAGAAGGAGAGGAGAGCAACCACUUUCAGCCAACAUCACAGCAGCAUUUCAGGCCACCUUCCCUCCUCAGGUAGGUUUUGUCCUUCACAGCUUCCUUCAAAUCACAAUGUCUCAGGAAGAUUGCUGGGAGUUCCAGGCCAGCCUAGGCCACAUAGUGAGUUCAAGGCCAGUCAGCAAGAACCUGUUUAAAAAAAAAAAAAAACACUGGCCGGGUGUGGUGGUACAUACCUGUAAUUCCAGCACUUGGGAGGCUGAGGCAGGAGGAUCAUUUCUAGUUUGAGACCAACCUGGGCUACAAAAUGAGCUCAAAACCAGCCUGAACUGCAUAGCGAGACCUUGUCUCAAAAAAAAGACAAAAAAAAAAAAAAAACCCACAGCACCAAACAAAAAAACUGACAGUCUCUCCUGUGUGUGGAAGCUUUUCCCACCACCCCACCCUUUCACAGUUGAGAAACAAUCACUCCCACUACUACCACCUGUCCUCCAUAGCUGUAAAUUCCCUGAAUGGUGACAUGAUCAAUGUUUGACUUCUCUCUCACUUCCUCCAGAUUGAACUCCAUAAGGAAGUUGUCUGCCUGAUACUGCUCAUUGACUUUCCAAACUAUGGUAACGCUCCUACCACCUAGAAAGUGCUCAAUAAAUAUUUACUGAGUGAAUUAACUAUUAAAAGUGGCACAACUUCUGGCUCUUCCCCAAAUUCUAAGAAGAUUCCCCCAACUCUAAGGAGGCAUGUCAGAAUCUGGGGAGAAAAAUAUUUGAAAAUGCUUACCAAGUGUUUCUAGUAAUUGUUAUAAUGGGUCUGUCUGUCCCUUCAUCUUUGCAUACUUACAGUGGUAUCUUGGUUCACAAACUUAACUCAUUCCACAAUUUUGGAAAAAAUGGCCACAUUCAUAUUCAUGCAGGAAAGAUGGCCAUGAUCUAUUUUGUCACCUGAUGCAGAUUUGCAACCAAAAGCAAAAUUUUGCCAAAUGCUUCUGUUUGAGAAUCAAUUGUUUAUUUGAUGGAAAGGAAAAUUCAAAGCGUGAAAAAUAAUUAUCUUUUAUAACUUUUUAUAUAAAUUUUACCCUAUUUUUUAUCACACCUUGACCAUUCUGUUGAGAAGCACAAGUUUUAGUUUUUCUUUAGGUGGUAAAACUUCAUAUUCCUCUUCCAAAAGAGACCAGAGUGAUAUCUGUGAAAACUGAUCUUGCACUGAGGCAUGCCACCAACAUCAUCUGAGCUUCUUGGGGGCCACUAGUGCUAGUCAAGAUGGUCGUGGCUAUUUCUCAAAAGGUCCCAAAUUUCAGAGCUAUCUAACUCUAAGUCGCAUGUCCAUGAAGGGCUGAAAGAACUUGUUUGUAUAGGUGUGUUCUAUAAGAGUGAUUUCAAAAUGAAACUGGAUGAAAAAUAAUCAUAAUGACCUAAAUGUUCUCUUGGAAAUAGGCAUAAUAUAAACAGUGUUUCUAAUUACAAGCAGUUGUGCGAUAAUAAUAUUUAACUAUAUACUUACUGAGUAAAUAAUUACAAAAGUUUAAUUCAUAACUGAAAGGUCAUGGCAAUUUACAUUCAUACAUUACAGAGACUUCAUUCUUAAGCUCUCCUCUCUUUUGAGUGCUUUUUGAAGACUACAUAUAGUUCACAGUCAUUCCACUGCUGCUUGAGACUGAAACCUAAUCCUCUGGACCACUGAGCUAAAAAGGAAUCUGUUGGAAAUGAUUUAGGAUAGCAUUUGGCACUUCAUGAUUGCUACUCUUGCUGGCUCAUAAACCAUCCCAAGGACAAUCAGACUCCACAGAUUAAAUUGUAGGGCAGGUUGAGUGCUGACUACCUAAAAAGUGCAACCCUGCCUGUUGUUCAAGUACAGGAGGCUGAACGAAUGAAGGAGAUGAGCCAAAGGUGUUAUUACAAGUGUUAUCUUAUUUUCAGGCUUUUUAAGGUUAUAAAAGGUAGUUACCUUUUCUGCUUGCUUUAUACUUUCCUCUCCAGCAAAUAAAACUAAGUAAGUAUGCAAAGACAGAGGUAAGGACAAAAGUCACAUGGUGUGAGAUGUAGUGAAUAAGGUGGAUGAGGACCAGAAAGUAGCAAGAACAAUAGGAGAAGUUUUAAACAGAGGGGGAGCAUUAUGAGGGGGAUUAAUGGCAAUGUGUCUGUUACUUCCUGAACCAGUGCUGGAAGUCCUCUUUCAUGAAUGUCUUUUUGUGGCUGCUUCAGUGUUGUGAAUCUAUUUCAACAUGUGCGGCAAUUUCUGUCAAUAAAAUCGUUAUAGUGGGUCCUUUCUCCCUUAUUCCCUAGUUAUGGCAUUAUGUGACUUCUGGCUCUUCCUUAAAGUCAAAGUGACCACAAAAGAGAAAUGUUUUGGAUUGAUUCAGGACAUUGAGGUAGCCACCACAACAAUGCAACUAAAGACAUGAAAAAAGACUUCCAGAACUGCUUCAGAAGGUGGCAGAAGCAAUGGGAUAGGUGUAUUUAAAGAGAAGGGGAGUAUCUUGAGGGGCAUUAAUGUGUCUUUUACUAUAAUUUUUAGCACUUAGUAUUUACCACAAAUUUUAAGCAUGCUUGGAUCUUUAGUGAAACAGAAGGGUCAAUGUUACUGAAAUAGUGCUAACUACUAUAUUUGGUGGGAUAAAGGCAGGCUAUUACAAGGUGCUGGGGAGAAUAAAAAUCACGAGCUAGUCAGUCAUCAUGAAAGCCAAGUAUUUCAUCAAAAAAUCUAAGGAGUUAAAGAUAAGGGGAAGCUUCUGUCCUAGUGACCAGACAGGUUAGGAUAAGCACUUUUCAAGAAAGAGAAAAAAAUAGAGGACAGAAAGGGAGAAGGAGAAGAAGGAGGAAAAAGGGAAUAAAGAUGGAAGGAAGAGCAACUUGAUAUUAGGCAAUCAACAAAUUAUAUUUUGAUAUUCUAAAAUAUGUCUGUAAGUUCUUUGAUGUUCCUCCUUCAGGAAGGGGAGCCUAAAUCUCCCCUUGAAUGCAAGUUGACUCAGUAAUUCAUUUCCAAUUAAUAUACUAUGGCAGAAGUGACACUAUAAGACCUUA
Molecule: long non-coding RNA, 4652 nt
Filed under: Chinchilla lanigera (long-tailed chinchilla)
Lineage: Eukaryota; Metazoa; Chordata; Mammalia; Rodentia; Chinchillidae
Description: lncRNA (ENSCLAG00000027374.1)
Source: RNAcentral